UUAGAUCAAUGACCAACUCGCUCAACGACCAAUUUCUUUAGCCACUUCAUCGCCCACAUCUUCCAGUUUCGUUCCAGAGUGUUCUCUGUUUCUUGCUCCCCAUUAUGUGCAUGGGUGUUUCCCUCCGACUCUCUGUUUUGACUCCCACUCUUGAGGUUCCUUCUACGAGUGAAGAUCCCAGAAAUGGAGCCUGGCCUCUUGUGAUUGAUAAAACAGCUGGAGUCACCCAUUGGUUUAAAUGAAGCAGGAGUUGUUAACCGGACUGUGUUCAUGAAUGCUCUGUUUUGGACUCGAUUUGUUCUGGAAAGGUGAGGAGUUUCUGUCUCUCAUCUUCCAAGAAGAGCAGCAAGCGAGUCUCGGUGCCGACAAUGGUGAGAUGGGUGGUGCUCCCGCUGUAGCUCGGCUUCAGGCCCUGGAGUGGAUGAUGAAGGUCAAUGCUCAUUACGAAUUCUCAGCAGUAACUGAGUUUCUCGCUAUUAACUACUUGGAUAGGCUCCUUUCAAGCCUCCAUUCUCAAAGAGAUAAGCCGUGGAUGAUCCAGUUAGCAGUUGUGACUUGUCUCUCCUUGGCUGCCAAGGUGGAAAAGACCCAAGUGCCUCUCCUCUCAGACCUGCAAGUGGAAGACAACGAGUAUGUGUUUGAGGCGAAAACAAAUUUAGAGAAUGGAUUUUCUGGUGCUCUCAACGCUUCAAUGGAAGAGGAACCCAGUCACCCCACUCUCCUUCAUUGAUCACAUCAUAAGGAGGUCUUGUUGCUAUAUCCUUUGGCUUCCCCAAGCUUCAUUCAUUGCUAUACUUCUACCAGCAGAUGGCCAAUGCAGCACUCAACUAUAGCCAAGAACUGCCCACAAAAGUCCAUGAUGCGCUUGUAAACGCCCUUGAACGUGUCAGCCAGCAGAGCACCACCCCCAGGUUUUUCUUCUCAUGAAAGAACAGAGCAGGCCUUUGACACAAUAUCUGGGAACCAUUUAUUUGACGUAUCCUCCUUGUUGAGAAACCCAUAUCAUAUUCCAAGCAAAAAUAUUGCUAGUGCAGGAGAUAUUGAAUUUAUAGAUCCUGCCAUUUCAGCUGUAGGCAAAGGAAGGUCUGACACUUGUGAAUGGGACUGCUGUUGGGUCAACGGUGGCCGCAACGGUUUGUUUUGAUGCCAACAUCUUGGAGCUCUUUACAAAGGUUCUGUCUGCUUUGUUUUGUGAAGUGAUGAAUGGCAAGCCUGAGUUUACGGGUCCACUGGCUCAUAAGCUGAAACACCAUCCUGGCCAGAUUGAAUCAGCUACUAUAAUGGAAUUUCUUCUUGAUGAAAGUGACUACAUGAAAGCAGCAAAGCUUCGUCAAGAGAAGGAUGUGUUGAUGAAACCUAAACAAGACCGGUAUAUACUCAGUGGACACUCCUUCUGCAGCCUCCGACCCAUAACUUUGUGGUCCUUGACAUGGAAAUCCUUGCCAAUCCUUCAAAGGAAAUAGCCCAUCCACUAAUCAAAUUCAUCUUUCAUCCAUCCCAUUCUCUACACCACGUGCAUGGUAAACCCAUUUUUUUAAUAUAUCCAUCUAAACCCAUUUUUCACUCAUGUUUCCAACCCACUUGAUUCACUUUCCCACCUUUUACCUCACUACACCACACCACACACCCAUACCCAUUUUUCUUCAAAUGCCCGUUUCCAUACCCAUCAUCACUUUACUUGAAUACUUGGUAACUCACAUUCCAUCCACUAUCACUUCCAUCUUGUUACCCUCUCAACUUUGACAUUCCACAAUACCCAUUUCCCACUCAUCCUUUCUCUAUCCCCCCACAUGUAUAUCAUUCAUGCACGUGACUCCCUAUCCCCCACAGUAGCUGUUACAAUAGCGGCUGCUGCUGCAGCCAAGUUAAGGAAAACAUCGGGCACGUUUGCUACAACUGCUGCUAACGCACUUGCUGGUGAGGGAACAACGUACAUGCCUUAGUUGUUCAGUCUUUUAUCUGUUGAUAACUGGGGGUGGGGGCAUACUUCCAUGCUCAGUUUUUGGUGGUUGAAAGUGGUAGUGAGAGGGGGAAGAAGGCUCUCUUGCAUUUUACUCAUGCAUUCAAGCCACAAUGCUGGUAUUUUAUUGGUCUGGAGCGUACUUAUAGGCUUGGGUUACUUGGAAAAACAGUGAGUUCCAUACACAGCUUCAAGAAGGUGCGACAGCUCGGAUCUAUAACAUGGCUCCUCAGCUGUACGAACGACGAGAAGAAGAAUUACAGAGAGAUGAAUUUGGCUCCCACAUUGGAGGUUCCUUCUAUGAACAGCCACCUCAUAACUAGAGACUGGUAUCCUGCAAUUAAUAAACCAGCUGGAAUCACCCAUUGGCUUAAACAUAGUAAAAAUGCAGAGGAUGUUGAUCGGAUUGUGGUUUUAGAUGCUGACAUGAUUAUCAGAGGCCCCAUUAUACCUUGGAAGCUGGGUGCAUUGUCGUCACAUCGAAACAUUGGUAUUACCGGUCAGAGGGAUGUUCAUGGGAAGUGACAGUGACAGAGAUAGCGUGUAAUAUGAAGAGGUUGUGGUCCUCUCCUCAACGCGACUUGGAUUCAAAUGCUGGAACAACAAUGCGUCCAUUGACAGCUGUAGUUACAGUUGUUGGUGGAAAUGCAAGCCAUGUAAUUGACGGGGUGUUGCGCAUGAGAGAAAGACCAAUUGGGGAUCUAAUCACAGGUCUUAAGCAGCUCGGUGCAGACGUUAACGGCUUUCUUGAAACAAACUGCCCUCCUGUUCGUGUUAAUGGGAAUGGAGGCCUUCCAAGAAGAAAGAAGAAGCCAUUGGACCUUGCCAGGCUUCCUGCUGCAAGAGUCAUGAGAUGUACUAUUGUAGAGAAAUUGACUGAGGAAACUCUGAGAGACUGAGGCCUACCCCUACGUGUCUCUAGUUUGCAUGGCCAUCUUUGGCAUGCAAUCAAGGGACCACGUGGCAUCUUCUCUCUUAUCAUCUCCUGAUUUUCAAAAUAAUUUCCUAGCCCCAUUUUCAAA
This is a long non-coding RNA of Vitis riparia (riverbank grape), 2982 nucleotides long. RefSeq lists it as uncharacterized. The transcript is spliced from 2 exons. The record is from RefSeq and is a predicted model, not a curated record. Lineage: Eukaryota; Viridiplantae; Streptophyta; Magnoliopsida; Vitales; Vitaceae.